RNAcentral lists this ribosomal RNA (621 nucleotides) under Streptococcus mutans. Its description in RNAcentral is "bacterial SSU rRNA". It matches the Rfam family "Bacterial small subunit ribosomal RNA", at positions 378 to 990 of the family's 1533-position model. The record is from RNAcentral. Lineage: Bacteria; Bacillati; Bacillota; Bacilli; Lactobacillales; Streptococcaceae.
AAAGUCUGACCGAGCAACGCCGCGUGAGUGAAGAAGGUUUUCGGACCGUAAAGCUCUGUUGUAAGUCAAGAACGUGUGUGAGAGUGGAAAGUUCACACAGUGACGGUAGCUUACCAGAAAGGGACGGCUAACUACGUGCCAGCAGCCGCGGUAAUACGUAGGUCCCGAGCGUUGUCCGGAUUUAUUGGGCGUAAAGGGAGCGCAGGCGGUCAGGAAAGUCUGGAGUAAAAGGCUAUGGCUCAACCAUAGUGUGCUCUGGAAACUGUCUGACUUGAGUGCAGAAGGGGAGAGUGGAAUUCCAUGUGUAGCGGUGAAAUGCGUAGAUAUAUGGAGGAACACCAGUGGCGAAAGCGGCUCUCUGGUCUGUCACUGACGCUGAGGCUCGAAAGCGUGGGUAGCGAACAGGAUUAGAUACCCUGGUAGUCCACGCCGUAAACGAUGAGUGCUAGGUGUUAGGCCCUUUCCGGGGCUUAGUGCCGGAGCUAACGCAAUAAGCACUCCGCCUGGGGAGUACGACCGCAAGGUUGAAACUCAAAGGAAUUGACGGGGGCCCGCACAAGCGGUGGAGCAUGUGGUUUAAUUCGAAGCAACGCGAAGAACCUUACCAGGUCUUGACAUCCC